Molecule: ribosomal RNA, 460 nt
Filed under: uncultured bacterium
Lineage: Bacteria
Description: partial 16S ribosomal RNA
Rfam family: Bacterial small subunit ribosomal RNA
Source: RNAcentral
CCUACGGGGGGCAGCAGUGAGGAAUAUUGGUCAAUGGACGAGAGUCUGAACCAGCCAAGUAGCGUGAAGGAUGACUGCCCUAUGGGUUGUAAACUUCUUUUAUAUGGGAAUAAAACGUUCCACGUGUGGGAUUUUGUAUGUACCAUAUGAAUAAGGAUCGGCUAACUCCGUGCCAGCAGCCGCGGUAAUACGGAGGAUCCGAGCGUUAUCCGGAUUUAUUGGGUUUAAAGGGAGCGUAGGUGGAUUGUUAAGUCAGUUGUGAAAGUUUGCGGCUCAACCGUAAAAUUGCAGUUGAAACUGGCAGUCUUGAGUACAGUAGAGGUGGGCGGAAUUCGUGGUGUAGCGGUGAAAUGCUUAGAUAUCACGAAGAACUCCGAGUGCGAAGGCAGUUCACUGGACUGCAACUGACACUGAGGCUCGAAAGUGUGGGUAUCAAACAGGAUUAGAUACCCCGGUAGUC